UUAUUGAGUGCUUUGAUUUAACUUACGUUUCAGCUAGGGAUGCAGAUGGAUACGGAUUGCUAGAGCUUCCGUUCCGAUCCGUUCCAAAUGAGACAGUAAAAAUAAAAAAUGUAAAAAAAAUUAAUACAUUCCGAAUCCGUCCGAUCCGCUAAGUAAAUGGAGCAGGAGAUGAAAAAUCAUUUUUUUCCUUCAAUACAUUCCGAUCCAUCAAAAAUCUAUCAAAAAUUCGCUCUUAUCCCGAUCCGUCCCAAAUAGGGCGGUAAGUGAGAGCAUGACAAAUAAAAUUAAAAAUAACCCGUCCCGAAUCCAUCCCGUCCUGAUAAGAAAUAAAACGAAAGGUGGAGAGACCCUCCCGGAUCCAUCCCGUUUACAUCCCUAGUUUCAGGGAAGUUGAAUGAAGAAGCAACAGGUUUGGAUGUUAUUAUUGUGGUGCUCAAGCAGAACUAAAGAUUCAGCUCAUCUUAUUGGCCUAGUUUUGUAUAUUUCCAUCACGGCAAGUUUGUUUCAUUAAAACUGGACUUUGGAUUAAAAUGGACUUUGGGUUGAAGCAGAGUUCGGUGAAAACUAUUUCUUCCCCGCUGUUUGUUUCGUUAAUAUGAAAGUGAAGUUUCAUUAGUUCUGCUGUUUGUUUAGUAGGAAAUGUGUGAUGUAGAAUUAUAAUUUAUGUAUAAAUAACGAAUAAUUUAAUAAAUAAAAAUAAUAUAAUUAUAUUUUUAUAUAAUUAAAAUUUAAUUUAAAACAACUAAAUUAUUUUUUUGUACAUAGUAAUAUAGCAAUAAAAUUACAAAGUAAAAAAAAAAUAUUAAUCCUUAAUUAUUUAUCAUAUUUUAAUUGUAAAACUAAAUAAAAAAAAUAUUAAAACUUAACUAAUCAAUUUUUAUCAUAUUUUAAAUAUGCCUGAAUAAAAAGAGUAAUUAGCACCAUAAUUAAAUAAUAUUUAAAUAUAACAAUCUUUACAUAGUAUAUUAUUUUAUUAUUUUUUUUUAUCUUUCUUCACCGUAUCAAUUUCGGCCCUCGGUGGGCCGAAGUCGAUUACGCCAUUUCAGAUUAAAUCGAGUUUUGACCGUAACUUUUUUACGGCGAACCAAACAACAAAAGUGAUCAUUUACGGCAAAAAUGACUUUCUUUUUCUCCACUUUCACCCUACUUCGACCCAAACAAAUAUACUCUCGUUGCUUACUUUGAAAAGCACUCUUAUCGAAUUCAAUCUAGAC
This 1214-nucleotide long non-coding RNA is filed under the name Ananas comosus (pineapple). RNAcentral describes it as "long non-coding RNA (ACOM_LNC024945)". The record is from RNAcentral. Lineage: Eukaryota; Viridiplantae; Streptophyta; Magnoliopsida; Poales; Bromeliaceae.